CGCAGUUGAGAUAAGGACAGGGAGAUCACUCAACAGUUAUUGUCAUGGGCAAAACUGACUCAGCAUAGGAAGAUUUAUGCAAUUCAUGGCCUAUCACUACUGGAUUACAACAGUGAGAAACUAAAAACAAAUUUAAAAAACCUUCCUCCCCAACCACCGUCUUCUCUGCCCUCCCCUGAGCGGCACAGGGAAACGGGGAAUGGAGCCUGCAGUCAGUCCCUGACUCCUUCGCAGUCACUCUGUGCCCCUGCUCCACGCGGGGUCCCUCCCACAGGAUGCCGUCCUUCCCAAACUGAGCCUGCGGGGGCUGCCCACAGGCAGCAGCUCUUCAAGAACUGCUCCCACACGGCUCUGCACCAAAGGGUCCAUCCCCCAGGAGCAAACUGCUCCAGCACAGGUCCCCCACGGGUGGCAGCUCCCCCCAGGCCCCCUGCUCCUGCGUGGGCUCCUCUCCAUGGCUGCAGCUCUGGCCUGGGGCCUGCUCCUGCGGGGGCUCUCCACAGGCCGCGGCCUCCUCCAGGCCACAUCCACCUGCUCCACCGGGGGCUCCUCCACGGGCUGCAGCGUGGAGAUCUGCUCCGUGUGGGACCCGUGGGCUGCAGGGGGACAGCCUGCUCCACCAGGGGCCUCUCCCCAGGCCGCAGGGGAACUGCUGCUGUGAGCCUGGAGCACCUCCUGCCUCCUGCUGCACUCACCUUGGGGGCUGCAGGGCUGGUUCUCACUCAUCUCUCUCCCAGUUGUUGUUGGACAGCAGUUUUUUGUUUUGUUUUGUUUUGUUUCCCCCCCUUUCUUAAAUCUGCUCUCACAGAAGUGCAAACAUCACUUACUGGCUCAACUCUGGCCAUCAGUGGGUCCUUUUUGGAGCCAGCAGGAGCUGACUGUGAUCUGACAUGGGGCAGCUUCUGGGCUCUUCUCACAGAGGCCAAAUCUGCAGACCCCUGCUACCAAAACCUUGCCGCAUAAAACCGAGACAGAUUUCCCAGAAUAACAUCCCAUCCUCCCUCUACAGGGCUCAUCCCUUCACCAGUACAGGCAGGUCUUUCUCAGCCACCUCCCUGCAGCUGGAAAAUCUCUCUCCUUGCCAGUGCAGAGUGAUGGCCAGUCCCAGAUAACACACAACAAACCCAACUCUUGGUCCCAAGAUAGAGAAAGAUUU
Molecule: long non-coding RNA, 1156 nt
Filed under: Anser brachyrhynchus (Pink-footed goose)
Lineage: Eukaryota; Metazoa; Chordata; Aves; Anseriformes; Anatidae
Description: lncRNA (ENSABRG00000007052.1)
Source: RNAcentral